This 271-nucleotide ribosomal RNA is filed under the name uncultured prokaryote. RNAcentral describes it as "partial 16S ribosomal RNA". It matches the Rfam family "Bacterial small subunit ribosomal RNA", at positions 524 to 794 of the family's 1533-position model. The record is from RNAcentral.
UACGUAGGUGGCGAGCGUUGUCCGGAUUUACUGGGCGUAAAGGGAGCGUAGGCGGACUUUUAAGUGAGAUGUGAAAUACCCGGGCUCAACUUGGGUGCUGCAUUUCAAACUGGAAGUCUAGAGUGCAGGAGAGGAGAAUGGAAUUCCUAGUGUAGCGGUGAAAUGCGUAGAGGUUAGGAAGAACACCAGUGGCGAAGGCGAUUCUCUGGACUGUAACUGACGCUGAGGCUCGAAAGCGUGGGGAGCAAACAGGAUUAGAUACCCGGGUAGU